This is a long non-coding RNA of Vigna radiata var. radiata (mung bean), 997 nucleotides long. RefSeq lists it as uncharacterized. The record is from RefSeq and is a predicted model, not a curated record. The transcript is spliced from 3 exons. Lineage: Eukaryota; Viridiplantae; Streptophyta; Magnoliopsida; Fabales; Fabaceae.
AGGAAAUUGAAACAGAAUUUGAAAAUGGCAGAGAAGAAGUUAGAAACAAAAUUAUUAGAAAUCUAACGUUGCAUAACAUUACUUGAACGAUGAUUGAUAGAAAAUGAUGGUUUUUGUCAAAUCUCCAAAGCAAUUUGUAAGACCCUAAAAAUUAUAGAGUAAAUUUUGUUGGUGAUAUUUCCUUUAGUGGUUGUUUUCAAUUCUUGCUUAAUAAUAAAUCAAGAACGAAAUUAUUAUUGUCCCNGCCCCGUGACUGUCGACCCCUGGUUAGUGGUGGGAGGUUACUCCCUCCACCUUCCCAUUUGUUCCCUCCACCUCCCCAUUUUUUCUACAUUUUUAUUUUAAUUACAAAUAUAACCUAUUGUUUUCCUUUUUUUAACUUUUAUAGUUUUUUAUUAUUUUACUUAUUUACCAAACCCUACUUUUACUCUGAUCCCUCCCCCCACAUUUCAGAUUUGAGAUCCACCUUUUAUUCUCUCGACCUCCGUCUCAUUUUCUCCCCCUGUCCCUUUUCUUCUUCACGCGUCACACUAGUUUUUCUCUGUUUGACUCUACUUUGCACUCAGUCAUGGUGGGGUGCGGUGGUGUGGUAAGGUGUGUGGCUGUUGUUAUUGUUCGUGGUGGUGUUUCGCUGCAGUGAGUGGUGCAUAUCUUCGUCUACCAGGCUACCAAAUUCAUCACAGUUGCAGGAUUUGGUGCUAAGUGGCUCGGCAUAUUUGGGAAUGGCAUGGUGCAAUCUUUUAUUAAUACUCAAACUCUAUCACCUUCAGAUUAGCGGGAACCAAAGCUUGCUGCUAAAAUAGCUAAGCAACCUAAAAGAUUUCAUUAUGUGGAAAUUCCAGGUUCAAAGGAACCUCAAUUAUGGAAUGAUGUUUGGAAGUUCUUUGAGAAAGCUCUAUUAUAUUUUCUUUCUUCUAGUUUGGUCUCUGUCCGAUUCUAUUGAUGAGUUACUUCUGUAAUUUUGUUUGAAGUCAAUUUGAUUUGUUGAUUUUUAUUA